CUACUACUCCCUCCGUCCGAAAAUACUUGUCCUAGAAAUAGUUGUAUCUAGACUUAUUUUAGUUAUAGAUACAUCUAUUUUAUCCAUUUUAAUUACAAGUAUUUUCGGACGGAGGGAGUACUAU
Triticum urartu is the source of this 124-nucleotide non-coding RNA. NCBI's taxonomy places the organism in Eukaryota, Viridiplantae, Streptophyta, Magnoliopsida, Poales, Poaceae. The record is from Rfam.